Molecule: long non-coding RNA, 2673 nt
Organism: Echinops telfairi (small Madagascar hedgehog)
Lineage: Eukaryota; Metazoa; Chordata; Mammalia; Afrosoricida; Tenrecidae
Exons: 2
Source: RefSeq, a predicted model, not a curated record
AUGAGCCAUCUCAAAAGCUGAAGACCCAGGAGUGGAAUGCAUCCUCUGGACCCCAAGAGUCCUGCACACAGCAACUCCUCAAUCCAGGACAAAGUGGUGACAUGACAGGAACAGCAGUAGCAGAGGCAGCAGAACCAAGAGCCAGUGCCCGGGACAGAGCAGCAGCAAGACUCCCGGACCACCAAGAAAGGCAUCUGAAGAUACCAAAUAGAUGUAGCACAUCCCUGCCCUCCAGAAGCUCACAGGUGGAGCCAACUGAAGCAAGAAGACCCAAAGCUCUUUGACUUGGAAGGACUUGAUUUCUGAAUGACCUGAAAAUAUCCAGUAACAUGUGAAUGAGAACUCCUUCCUGCAUUUUCCCCUUUGCUCCCUGAGGAACACAAUUUUAAAAUGGCUGGGCUGGCGCCUGGUCCUCCAAGGUAUGGCCACAGAAUAGGGAGCUCUGUGUCACUCUGACCUGCCUCCAGAUCAAGCAGCCAUCUAUUGCUGCCCAGACCAGAAGGAGAGUCUUAGCUUCCCUGGUUAGUUCCUGAUAUGCAGUAGGCAAUGGCUAGCUGAUGGACAGAAUGAAUGAGUGAACAAAUGAAUGACUAAAGAUACUUGGAAUACAUCUUUCUAAAGAAACAAUAUAGGUGGUGGUUACCAGGCAAAGGAAGCCCCAACUACUCAUGGUGAUGGUUAGGUUUUAUAUCAAUUUGAACCUGUGUGAAAAUAGGGGACGAAUCCAGUCUAUUAAGCAGAUCACAAUCUGAUGAUGCCUCUUUGGAGGUGUGGCCUUUUUAUAAAGGGACACUUUUCUCUUACCCUUCACCCUUCCUGUUUGCUAGGAUUCUGUGUCUGCCUGCAAGGGCAGCCCCAUAUGGGCCUUUGGUGCCUUACCCUGUUCCCACAGAACCUGAGAUCCUUGUAAGUCUGUACCCACUGGUCUGUGAUCUCCCUACUUUCUGUUUCACCUUUCUGGGAUGCAGCUAUGUGCAUCUACAGAGGGCUCCAGCUAGCCUAAGUCCCAUCAUGGACUUUGGUUGGACUGGGUUGGGAUGCCUUCUUGAAAUAAAAUUAAUUCUUUAUAUAUAAAAUUCCUUCUUAUACAUAUGAGAGUGUCACUGGUUUUGCUUCUCAAGACAACCUAGCCUACCACCAUUUGGUGCAAAGAGGGGGUUCUCCAGAAGCAAACCAAGGAUGGAGAGUGGAGAGGUACGUUUGAUUUCUGACGUCUAGCAAUCUGGGGGAGCUGGGUUUUCCUUCUCCUUUGGAUGGCCAGAAGAGGUCAGAUAUGGCCACGUAGUUUAUUCAGCUGCUAUCUGGAAAGGGCAUGGGAAGUGAAACUUUUGAUUCUUAGAAGCUGACUUUGGUUAUUCCCACCUGAAAUGACUGAAAGGAAUGUAAUGGAUGCUAAAUUGCACCUCAGGGAAGAAAAGCACUUUUUCCCCCAAGGCAAAAUCCAUGCUGCUUAAAUAAAAUGACUGAAAGAAGGCCAAGCUAGCUGGAUACACUCAGCCAGCAGCAGCCUAGGGCCAUAUGCACAUGAAUAAGAUAGUCUAAAAGAACAUGGAACUCUAGCUGUUGUUCUUUUUAUUAUUAUUAUUAUUGUGUUUAGGAUCUGGGUGUACUAUGAUUUUAUUGAUUUCACCUACCUAAUCUUAUUGCCAUCAAGUGUGACAGAAAUGGAUAUUGGAAAUUAUGAUUAGAGAGCGCUUUUAAGCCCGCCCACCAUUAGCCUUUAUGAUUAGAUUUGCUAAAGGGGACAUUUGGAAUUUCCUGGAAGAAAUUACUCAAAUACCUUCAUUUAUAUUUUGACCACCUAUCUAAGCAAGUCAUUGGCCAAGGAAAAAUUGAUUAGCAAGAUCAUAAAUACAUUUUCCCAAUAGCAUCCUUUUAAAUCCUUGUAGCUCAGUGAGGUCAGUCUAACUUUAAAGACUAAUGAAGUCUCAAAGAUACAAUGUAAUCACAGGGCAAAAAUUCUCUCAAAGCACAAGCUUCUAGAAGGAAAGAGCCAUGCUGCUUUGGAUGCCGAUUGUCACUGCCAAACCCAGGGCACAUCCCGGGAGAGAUGCUUCACACAUUUUUUCAGCAUGGAGUCUGAAUUCAGACUGCCCAGAUUCAUGUUCCAGCCCUGCAACAUACCUGUUAUAUGAUAUUGGCCAAGCUAUUUAACCUCUCUGUGUCUCUGUUUCCUCAUCUAAAAAUGAGAAUAAGCAUUUUCAGAGGGAUACAUUAAUAUCUGUAAAACAAUUCAAGUGCUGUUGCUAAUUGCCACUGAGUUAGCGACAACUUAUUCAGACCCCAUAUGCCACAGAAUAACGCAUCUUUCAGGUCUGUGCCAUUUCACAAUUGUUGGCGUGCUCAGUCCCAUUUCAAGAACCAUGGUCUUUAUUUUUAUUUCCUUCCAAUCUAAGGAGCUCAUCUUCCAACACUAUAUCAAACAAUUUUUCAUUGGCUGACUUUUGAAGGAGUGCACCAGGCCAUUUUUGCUCAUCUGUUUCAGUCUGGAAGUCCCCCCUGAAACUUGUUAUAAUGGGUGAUCAUGCUGAUAUUUAAAUAUCACCUUCCAGCAUCACAGCAACAUGAAAACCACACAGUAUGACAUCUUGACAGAAAGACGAUGUAGAUGUGACAUAGGUGUUUAAUAAACAGAAUAAACAGAUCCAGUGAUGGAUCACAAAUUAUACAUUA